RNAcentral lists this ribosomal RNA (386 nucleotides) under uncultured bacterium. RNAcentral's name for it is "bacterial SSU rRNA". It matches the Rfam family "Bacterial small subunit ribosomal RNA", at positions 28 to 417 of the family's 1533-position model. The record is from RNAcentral.
GACGAACGCUGGCGGCGUGCUUAACACAUGCAAGUCGAGCGGUAAGGCCCUUCGGGUACACGAGCGGCGAACGGGUGAGUAACACGUGGGUGACCUGCCUUUAGCUCUGGGAUAAGCCUGGGAAACUGGGUCUAAUACCGGAUAUGACCUCAUGACGCAUGUUGUGGGGUGGAAAGCCCUGUGCGGCUAGAGAUGGGCCCGCGGCCUAUCAGCUUGUUGGUGGGGUGANGGCCUACCAAGGCGACGACGGGUAGCCGGCCUCGAGAGGGCGACCGGCCACACUGGGACUGAGACACGGCCCAGACUCCUACGGCAGGCAGCAGUGGGGAAUCUUGCGCAAUGGGCGAAAGCCUGACGCAGCGACGCCGCGUGAGGGAUGACGGCCU